CUUUGAUGAAUACAUGAAUUUGGUGCUGGAUGAUGCUGAAGAAGUCAAUGUUAAGAAGAAGAGCAGAAAAUCUUUAGGGAGGAUUGUUCUUAAGGGAGACAACAUAACUCUGAUGAUGAACUCUGGAAAGUGAUGAUGAUUCCAGCAAUUGUGUAAAUUGGCAUUAUGAUGCCUUUCCAAUCACCUGGCAGCCUAGCAUCUCUGUUUA
Molecule: long non-coding RNA, 208 nt
Organism: Quercus lobata
Lineage: Eukaryota; Viridiplantae; Streptophyta; Magnoliopsida; Fagales; Fagaceae
Exons: 3
Source: RefSeq, a predicted model, not a curated record